GGAGGCGUAACUCGUCUGGUGACGGGCGCGGUCCUCAACACCGUGGUGACCGGGUACCCCGGUCAGGCGGGUUCGAUUCCCGUCCGCCUCCGCCA
Molecule: transfer RNA, 95 nt
Filed under: Nocardioides sp.
Lineage: Bacteria; Bacillati; Actinomycetota; Actinomycetes; Propionibacteriales; Nocardioidaceae
Description: tRNA-Sec
Rfam family: Selenocysteine transfer RNA
Source: RNAcentral